Molecule: unclassified non-coding RNA, 20 nt
Filed under: Chlamydomonas reinhardtii
Lineage: Eukaryota; Viridiplantae; Chlorophyta; Chlorophyceae; Chlamydomonadales; Chlamydomonadaceae
Description: small RNA Cre_2537
Source: RNAcentral
UCAUUCAAUCUACACAACGA